AUUUCUGAAUAAAAUAUAACACACAGGACCUCUGCUUUUGUACAUAAAUUAGUACCUUACUGGCUAGGGAAUGUUGAAUCACAGUUGGAUGAAGAAACAAUUCAUAUUAGUGUUUCUCUAAAGUGCUCACCUGCCUGAAAUGCUCUACAUCCUCCCUACCAAUAGACUGUUCUUAUGGUCAGCACCAUGGACAUCAUUUGCCAGCUUGUUAGAAAUGCAGAAUCUCAGCACGGAAUGAACAAUUCAGUUUGAAGAGUCUCGCUCUGUCGUCCAGGCUGGAGAGCUGUGGGGUAUCU
Non-coding RNA from Chlorocebus sabaeus (green monkey), 296 nucleotides. The record is from RefSeq and is a predicted model, not a curated record. Lineage: Eukaryota; Metazoa; Chordata; Mammalia; Primates; Cercopithecidae.